GUAUACGAACCGGCGUCCCCCGCAUUUUGCGCUUGGGAUUUUACGGUUCGGUUUGAAAUCGACAAUCAAAGGAGAAAGAAAGUGGCACGUAUUGCUGGUGUCAACGUUCCCGAU
Regulatory RNA element from Micavibrio aeruginosavorus ARL-13, 114 nucleotides. It matches the Rfam family "Alpha operon ribosome binding site". From Rfam's summary of the family: The bacterial alpha operon ribosome binding site is surrounded by this complex pseudoknotted structure. Translation of the mRNA produces 4 ribosomal protein products, one of which (S4) acts as a translational repressor by binding to the nested pseudoknot region. The record is from Rfam. NCBI's taxonomy places the organism in Bacteria, Pseudomonadati, Bdellovibrionota, Bdellovibrionia, Bdellovibrionales, Pseudobdellovibrionaceae.